CGCCUAGGGCGACACACGUGCUACAAUGGCAUAUACAAUGAGACGCAAUACCGCGAGGUGGAGCAAAUCUAUAAAAUAUGUCCCAGUUCGGAUUGUUCUCUGCAACUCGAGAGCAUGAAGCCGGAAUCGCUAGUAAUCGCAAAUCAGCCAUGUUGCGGUGAAUACGUUCCCGGGUCUUGUACUCACCGCCCGUCACACCAUGGGAGUUGAUUUCACUCGAAGUGGAAAUACUAAACUAGUUAUCCCCCACAGUGGAAUCAGCGACUGGGGUGAAGUCGUAACAAGGUAACCGUAGGAGAACCUGCGGUUGGAUCACCUCCUUUCUA
This 326-nucleotide ribosomal RNA is filed under the name Campylobacter upsaliensis. RNAcentral describes it as "bacterial SSU rRNA". It matches the Rfam family "Bacterial small subunit ribosomal RNA", at positions 1205 to 1533 of the family's 1533-position model. The record is from RNAcentral. Lineage: Bacteria; Pseudomonadati; Campylobacterota; Epsilonproteobacteria; Campylobacterales; Campylobacteraceae.